GUUCCCUCAAGCCACCCUGGGAUUUUUCCUCCCCUUUAUCAUCAAACAUCUCCAGCAGAUGAUUGGAAUCUGUGGCGUACCUUCCCACGUACCUCCCAACUUCAGCCCUGCAAAGACAGGCUCUCAACAUGGGAGGCUGGAAAAGCAAUGCCUUCCCAGUAUACAGAAGUGCCAUGAGACUGAGUCUGACCAAUAAGAUUUAAGAGCAAGUCUGCUGACUCAUCUAUUAGAAAAAGAGUCCCUGGACUUUCCUGGUGACGCAGUGGAUAAGAAUCCGCCUACCAAUGCAGGGGGCACAGGUUUGAUCCCUGGUCCAGGAAGAUCCCACAUGCUGCAGAGCAGCUAAGCCCAUACUCCAGAACUACUGAGGCAGAGUUCUAGUUCCCUCAAGCCACAACUACCCAAGACCCCAUGCUGCAACUACUGAAGCCCAUGCACCCAGAACCUGUGCUCCAACAAAGAGUAGGCCCUGCUCACCACAACUAGAGAAAGCUUCUGCAAAGCUACGAAGACCCAGCAUGGCCAAAUAAAUAAAAAAAUUAAAAAAAAAAAACCUGAGUC
Molecule: long non-coding RNA, 561 nt
Organism: Bos indicus x Bos taurus (hybrid cattle)
Lineage: Eukaryota; Metazoa; Chordata; Mammalia; Artiodactyla; Bovidae
Source: Ensembl